This is a non-coding RNA of Ictidomys tridecemlineatus (thirteen-lined ground squirrel), 1905 nucleotides long. Lineage: Eukaryota; Metazoa; Chordata; Mammalia; Rodentia; Sciuridae. The record is from RefSeq and is a predicted model, not a curated record.
GGUCAACCUGCCUUCAUGAAGGUUUCUAUGACUACAGUGAUUCACUCCAAUUUCUCCUCAUUCACUAUGACUUCAAAAUUGCUCUUCGUUGUCCUCCUAAGUUCAAUUUUAUCGUCAGAUCCUAUGUCCUGAUGUUUAGCUUGGAGAAGUUGUUGACUCUUUUGAUGACCACGUGAGAAGCUCUGUGUGUGAGACGCACACUGGUUUUUUCCCCAGAGUUCCCACACCUGGAACGGAAGCACUGCUCUACAGAUGAUGACUGAAGCAAGAAUGAUUAAGCACUGGGAAGGAAAUUCUCAAGAGGGAAGACCAGCGGAAGGCCCUUCCCUGUCUUAUUCAGUGAGGACUGAUAGUCAAGCAAUCACUGCUGGCUUUGGAGAGAACACCGUGGUGGCUGGAGGACUCUGACAAGGAGAACAGGGAACACCGUGUUCUGCACUGGGAGACAGCAGGAAAGGGAGAUCUCUACGAAUCUUUUCAGGGUCAAGCUACCUUUUUGGACUCUAUCCAUCUGCCUGCAACCUGCCUGUGACAGCUAAUCACAUUCAGCUGAAGAGAAAUAAAGGAUUCUCUUAUCAAAAAGUGCAAAGUAGUCCCUGAAUAAUGACUGCAUCACCCAAUCUCCCUAGAUGGGCACAGGGACAGUCUGACUAAUGGAAUAUAAUUUGAAAUGGCAUGUGCCAUUUUUGGAAAAGAUCUGUACUCCCUCCCUGGAUGGGAUGCAGAUUUGAGGGCUGGGUGAGCAGUGAUCUAAUAUCAUGAGGUAGAAGUUACAUCUGAAGAGGAGAGAAGUGCAAGAUAAAGCUACUGGCCACUGUGGCAUGCCAUAGCAGCCCCACAUAGGUAUUUCUGCAUUUCAUAUAUGUGGCAGGAAACAGAUUUCAAUUUUGUUUACACCACUGUGAUUUUGCAUUCUGCCAUUUUCUUUCCUGUCACUUGCAUUGAAUCUACUCCGUAGAGAGAUAGGGGGCCAGGGUCAAUCACGGAGACUCGAGGUAAGCUAUGCUGGAUACAGAGCUGUAGCUUGCAGGCUGCUGUACUCCAUUAGAGGGAUUUAAACAAGAUGGAAGCAUGGUCAUGAGUGUACUAAAGGGUUCUGUGUUUGUCCUUCAAGAAUAGGUUUAGGGUUGUGGGGGAGCAAGAAAUUCUAAAUGAAACAACUACUUCUAGCAGGGAAGUUCAAAAGACAGGAGUCAGUGUAAACAGGGAACUCAACAGAGGUGACAGUGUGAGUUAACAUUGCCCGAAGACUUCUUUUCAUGUAUUUCCUGGCCUUCUAGUUUAUAGCUAUAAAAGACAACUGAAAGCCAUUCUCUUCCACUUUUGCAAGGUUCCCUGCUUAAAGAUUUCCAGGUGUUUUUGCUAUGAUUUGAGUGUGUCCCCUGAAGGUUCAUCUGUUGGGAGAUUGGUCUCCAGUGUGGUGGUGUUGAGAGAUGGUGGGAUCUUUUAGAGGUGAAACCCAGUAAGACUGGGUCCUUCCCCUCUAUUGGCCUUCUAUGUGAUAUCUCCAUAUCACAUGUGCUCCUGUCAUCAUGGUGUCAUCAGCCACAGGUGAUGCAGCCAGAGGAACCCUCACCAGAGCCAGAACUAUGCCACUGGACGUUCAGGCUCCAAAACUGUGAGCGAAAUGAAACUUUCUCUUUGCAAGUACACAGCCUCAGGUAUUGCAUUAUAGUAACAAAAAAUGGACGAACGUGGUUGUUUGCUUAGAGCACCUUUGAAUAAGCACAGUCUGAAACACCAAUUAUAUUACUCAAAGCACAAUAGUAAGCCAUUUUAUAGAUGCAGAAUGUAUUUUGGCUUUUCAUUAACAUUAAUUGGUAUCCUAAUCAUCUGCAGUUGGAUUCUGUUUGUGAAUACCUCCUUCAAUCAGCCUGUUCCUACAAAUAAAUGCUUUUGAAGGCA